UACGGAGGGUGCAAGCGUUAUCCGGAUUCAUUGGGCGUAAAGGGUGUGUAGGUGGCGCCGUAAGUCGGGUGUGAAAUUUCGGAGCUUAACUCCGAAACUGCAUUCGAUACUGCGGUGCUUGAGGACUGGAGAGGAGACUGGAAUUCAUGGUGUAGCAGUGAAAUGCGUAGAGAUCAUGAGGAAGACCAGUGGCGAAGGCGGGUCUCUGGACAGUUCCUGACACUGAGACACGAAGGCCAGGGGAGCAAACGGG
This 253-nucleotide ribosomal RNA is filed under the name uncultured bacterium. RNAcentral's name for it is "partial 16S ribosomal RNA". It matches the Rfam family "Bacterial small subunit ribosomal RNA", at positions 524 to 776 of the family's 1533-position model. The record is from RNAcentral.